AGAGUUUGAUCCUGGCUCAGGGCGAACGCUGGCGGCGUGGAUAAGGCAUGCAAGUCGAGCGCAGGCUUGCCUGUGGGUUCUGCCUACAGGCAGGUGCUGAGCGGCGAACGGGCGAGUAACGCGUGCCUAACCUACCCCGGAGACCGGGAUAACCCUGGGAAACUGGGGCUAAUACCGGAUACGCUCCCUCGUCGCAUGGCGGGGGAGGAAAGGUGUCCGUUCCGAAAGGGCGGAUGCCGCUCCGGGAUGGGGGCGCGUCCCAUCAGGUAGUUGGUGGGGUAACGGCCCACCAAGCCUAUGACGGGUAGCCGGCCUGAGAGGGUGGCCGGCCGCACCGGGACUGAGACACGGCCCGGACCCCUACGGGGGGCAGCAGCCGAGGAUCUUGGGCAAUGCCCGAAAGGGUGACCCAGUGACGCCGCGUGGGGGAGGAAGCCCUUCGGGGUGUAAACCCCUGUUGGCGAGGGAAGAAGCCGUCCCUUCGGGGACGGUUGACGGUACCUCGCGAGAAAGCCCCGGCUAACUCCGUGCCAGCAGCCGCGGUAAAACGGAGGGGGCGAGCGUUGCCCGGAUUUACUGGGCUUAAAGGGUCCGUAGGCGGUGUCCCAAGUCCUCCGUGAAAGCUGCCCGCUCAACGGGCAGAGGUCGGGGGAGACUGGGACACUUGAGGGCGGACGAGGCCGGCGGAACGGCGGGUGUAGCGGUGAAAUGCGUCGAUAUCCGCCGGAACACCAGUGGCGAAGGCGGCCGGCUGGGACGCCCCUGACGCUGAGGGACGAAGGCCGGGGGAGCGAACCGGAUUAGAUACCCGGGUAGUCCCGGCAGUAAACGUUGGGCGCUAGGUGUGGGGAGUCUCGACCCUCCCCGUGCCGCAGGGAAACCAAUAAGCGCCCCGCCUGGGGAGUACGGGCGCAAGCCUGAAACUCAAACCAAUUGACGGGGGCCCGCACAAGCGGCGGAGCAUGUGGCUUAAUUCGAUGCUACCCGAAGAACCUUACCAGGGCUUGACAUGCUGGCUUAAGCCUGCCCGAAAGGGCGGGGUGGGACGGUUUAAGCCGUCCAGCCAGCACAGGUGGUGCACGGCUGUCGUCAGCUCGUGCCGUGAGGUGUCCGGUUAAGUCCGGCAACGAGCGCAACCC
This 1139-nucleotide ribosomal RNA is filed under the name uncultured bacterium. RNAcentral's name for it is "bacterial SSU rRNA". It matches the Rfam family "Bacterial small subunit ribosomal RNA", at positions 8 to 1104 of the family's 1533-position model. The record is from RNAcentral.